CCUACGGGACGCAGCAGUGGGGAAUAUUGGGCAAUGGGCGCAAGCCUGACCCAGCAACGCCGCGUGAAGGAAGAAGGCUUUCGGGUUGUAAACUUCUUUUCUCAGGGACGAGGCAAGUGACGGUACCUGAGGAAUAAGCCACGGCUAACUACGUGCCAGCAGCCGCGGUAAUACGUAGGUGGCAAGCGUUAUCCGGAUUUACUGGGUGUAAAGGGCGUGUAGGCGGGCAUGCAAGCCAGAAGGGAAAUCUGGGGGCUUAACCCCCAAACUGCUUUUGGAACUGCGUGUGUUGAGUGAUGGGGAGG
RNAcentral lists this ribosomal RNA (305 nucleotides) under uncultured bacterium. Its description in RNAcentral is "bacterial SSU rRNA". It matches the Rfam family "Bacterial small subunit ribosomal RNA", at positions 338 to 657 of the family's 1533-position model. The record is from RNAcentral.